AUAUGAUCAAGGCCAUUUUUGAGAACCCUUCUCUAGCCAAAUUUUCACCCAAAGUGCUUGAAAAUAUUAUACCCUUUUUGAACCUUAGCCUUAACAGGAUGUGAACCCUUGUUUUUCCAUUUUUUACCUUGAGUUGGGGUUGUGUGGGGGAAAUUGAAAGGCAAAUGAAAAGCAUUGAGCUCAAAUGUUGUGAAAAGAAAAAUUCGUCAGAAAAAGAAAAGAAAAGAAGAAAAGCAUGAAAAGUGAGCUCAAUGUAAAAGAAAAGGGAAAAAGUUGAGAAUGAGAGAGAUUGGUGAGGGAGAGAGUUGUGCUUUAAUGUUGAAUAUUAUGAUAGCUCUCUUGACUCAAGGACUUUGCAUUCCGAAAAAAACCAAUGUUUCUUGUUAGCCCAACCACAUUACAAGCCUUGGGGAAAAGUCCUUUUGAUGGAAUUUGCAUGUAAAGAUGUUGAUUGUUUGAGAUGAAUGGAAAUUUUGUUUCAUGUGACUUGUGAAUAAUAGAGAGUUGGAGUGUCACCUUAAACACUUGAGUGAUUGAGUGAAACACUUGCUUGGUAU
This 557-nucleotide long non-coding RNA is filed under the name Vigna radiata. RNAcentral's name for it is "long non-coding RNA (VRAD_LNC014179)". The record is from RNAcentral. Lineage: Eukaryota; Viridiplantae; Streptophyta; Magnoliopsida; Fabales; Fabaceae.